RNAcentral lists this ribosomal RNA (301 nucleotides) under uncultured bacterium. Its description in RNAcentral is "partial 16S ribosomal RNA". It matches the Rfam family "Bacterial small subunit ribosomal RNA", at positions 509 to 807 of the family's 1533-position model. The record is from RNAcentral.
CAGUAGCCGCGGGAAUACAGAGGGUGCGAGCGUUAAUCGGAUUUACUAAGCGUAAAGCGUGCGUAGGCGGCUUUUUAAGUCGGAUGUGAAAUCCCUGAGCUUAACUUAGGAAUUGCAUUCGAUACUGGGAAGCUAGAGUAUGGGAGAGGAUGGUAGAAUUCCAGGUGUAGCGGUGAAAUGCGUAGAGAUCUGGAGGAAUACCGAUGGCGAAGGCAGCCAUCUGGCCUAAUACUGACGCUGAGGUACGAAAGCAUGGGGAGCAAACAGGAUUAGAUACCCGAGUAGUCCCUGUCUCUUAUAC